RNAcentral lists this non-coding RNA (106 nucleotides) under human gut metagenome. RNAcentral describes it as "THF riboswitch". It matches the Rfam family "THF (Tetrahydrofolate) riboswitch aptamer". From Rfam's summary of the family: THF riboswitch presents a pseudoknot that joins P1-P2 and the loop of P3 and two THF binding. The record is from RNAcentral. RNAcentral also lists the same sequence under 1 other name.
GCAGAGUAGAUGUUUGCGCGUAAAGUGUCAGUCGGACGGGGAGUUGCCGCUGAACGAAGAACGGUUUUCAAAAACGGUUUGCGGUGCAAAUGUCGCAUCCCGCUGC